This 458-nucleotide ribosomal RNA is filed under the name Micromonospora sp. PA25. RNAcentral describes it as "bacterial SSU rRNA". It matches the Rfam family "Bacterial small subunit ribosomal RNA", at positions 1 to 484 of the family's 1533-position model. The record is from RNAcentral. Lineage: Bacteria; Bacillati; Actinomycetota; Actinomycetes; Micromonosporales; Micromonosporaceae.
UGAGUUUGAACCUGGCUCAGGACGAACGCUGGCGGCGUGCUUAACACAUGCAAGUCGAGCGGAAAGGCCCUUCGGGGUACUCGAGCGGCGAACGGGUGAGUAACACGUGAGCAACCUGCCCCAAGCUUUGGGAUAACCCCGGGAAACCGGGGCUAAUACCGAAUAGGACUUCCGGCCGCAUGGCUGGGGGUGGAAAGUUUUUCGGCUUGGGAUGGGCUCGCGGCCUAUCAGCUUGUUGGUGGGGUGAUGGCCUACCAAGGCGACGACGGGUAGCCGGCCUGAGAGGGCGACCGGCCACACUGGGACUGAGACACGGCCCAGACUCCUACGGGAGGCAGCAGUGGGGAAUAUUGCACAAUGGGCGGAAGCCUGAUGCAGCGACGCCGCGUGAGGGAUGACGGCCUUCGGGUUGUAAACCUCUUUCAGCAGGGACGAAGCGAGAGUGACGGUACCUGCAG